Molecule: long non-coding RNA, 774 nt
Filed under: Olea europaea subsp. europaea
Lineage: Eukaryota; Viridiplantae; Streptophyta; Magnoliopsida; Lamiales; Oleaceae
Source: RNAcentral
CCAUAUUGUUGAAUUAAUAAACAUCGUUCCUCAGUGUUUAAUCUUUUGUUCUUCUUUACAAUUUAAACCUUGUUUUUCGGUGUGUGAUCUAGUAUACUUCGAUAUUGUCAUUACAAUUUCGUUCUCUACAAUCCGGUUUGAAAUUAACGUGUGUUAUAGGAAGCUCCAAUACCCUCAAUGAAUAAUCCAUCAACAGGGACCUGAUUACCUGCCUGUAAACACACAAUAUCGCCACCCACAACGUCAGAAUCCAAAAUUUGUGGCAUUUUCCCGCGUCGAACAACACAAGCAUAUUUUUCAUUCUUUCACAUCCCUAAGCCCUUCAACAGGUCCGUUUGUCUUGAUUGCAAGUACCACAGACAGUACAGCACAACAAAAAAGAAGGAUCAUUGUAAUAUCCUUAAAACCUUGCAAAGGUAGCCGACAGAAGCCAUCUACCACCGAGCAAGCGCGGUUGCUUGUCCAAGUAUAAAUUGAGGCAAAAUGCUUUGUGGCGGCAGUAAGGUUCCACUGCACUCCCUCUUAUUCCUGUUCUGCAUUACUUUCUAAUGCACCCAUUAAUCUCCUGGCAUUCCAACAAAUAGCUAAAGAGAGUCUCUCAUGUCGUUCGCUUGCACUAAUUUUGCUAGACAUUCCUGUUAAUUCUGAACAUGGGGACUUCUGCUGAGCAUCGAAUCAGCCAUGGGGCAAGAAAGAAUUGUUCAUGAACUGCCUUUUUUGGGUUCAGUUUACAAAAGUAUUUACGUUUUAUAGUUUUAUCUAAAGAGAAGGUUC